This 72-nucleotide transfer RNA is filed under the name Bos taurus (domestic cattle). It matches the Rfam family "tRNA". Rfam says of the family: Transfer RNA (tRNA) molecules are approximately 80 nucleotides in length. Lineage: Eukaryota; Metazoa; Chordata; Mammalia; Artiodactyla; Bovidae. The record is from Rfam by way of RNAcentral. RNAcentral also lists the same sequence under 1 other name.
UCCCCAAUAGCUCAGACGGUCAAGAAUCUGCCUGCAAUGCAGGAGACCUGGGUUCGAUGCCUGGGUGGGGAA